CCAUGCCCACAUUCCACGGAAAGGUAAAUGAAGAAGUCUAAUUAUGUCUCUUUGUAGCGCAUUGCCCUUUAAAAUAACCUUCCAUGCCUGACUAGUUAAGCUCAGUGGUGAUAAGAUAUUGGAAGCAAUAAAUAAAAUGACGUCCAGGGCUCAGAACGUUAACAGUCUCCCCCACCCCCAAGAAAUUAUUGCCCAAAAUGGCGCCUAAAUCACAAAACGUGGUCCUGCAGUGCCCCCUGGUGCCUCUUCUGUGGAACUGUAAAACGGCCCACUGCUGUAAGAAAAUGAUAUAUAAAACCAGUCAAUGAAAUGAGAAUGAAGAUUGUAGUCUGGGACCUUCAUCAUGGACCAGAACCUCCAAAACUCUUCAUUUGCAGGUUAUGUUCAAAUCCCUUCAAGGAAUGAGACCUAUUUCAACAGGAUUUUUCUACAGCUCCUAGAUAAAUCUCAUCUCUAAUCCAGAUGCAUGGCAAUGUCCUGUGUGAAGGAAAGGAAGCCCCCCAUGCCACCCGAUGACAUCCAUAUAAAUCACAGGUUUUAUUCCUCCGUUGUGAGGGGGCACUGCAUAUUGCAGCAACGUUGCAUACUCUCAUUGGCCAAUGCUUCAUUACUUGGUGGAAAAU
Molecule: non-coding RNA, 623 nt
Organism: Heterocephalus glaber (naked mole-rat)
Lineage: Eukaryota; Metazoa; Chordata; Mammalia; Rodentia; Bathyergidae
Source: RefSeq, a predicted model, not a curated record